GGAGUAUUAGUCAUAAAUGUUAAAUAUUUUACAUUUUACUGUCAAGUGAAAAUUAAUUGUGUUUUGAUUGUGUGCUUCCCUAUUCCCUUUUGUCCCCUAUAUCAGGUGAUGCUUUUCCUUGGACGAUCAGCUUACAUCAUUUCAGCAUAUAUACCCUUCUUGGAAAACAAGUGACACUUUGCCUAGUGGAACCUAUGGGUUGCACCUCCACUCUAGCUGUCACGUCUCAAAAACUACUUGCUACGGGACCUGAUACACGACAUUCAUUUGUUGUCUGUCUCCAUGUUGACCUAGAGUCACUAGAGAUAAAAUGCUCUAAUCCCCAGGUCCAGCUUUUCUAUGAACUAACUGAUACCAUGAAUAAGGUCUGGAAUAAGAUUCAGAAGAGAGGCAAUCUCAACCUAUCUACAACCUCUCCAGAGACCAUGGCAGGGCCUGUUCCUACUUCUCCAGUUAGAAGCAGUAUAGGCACAGCUCCUCCAGAUACCAGCACAUGCAGCCCAUCUGCUGACAUUGGGACUACUACUGAGGGAGAUUCUAUACAAGCAGGUGAGGACUCACCAUUCUCAGAUUCUGUCACCUUGGAACAAACUACAAGUAAUAUUGGCGGAACCAGUGGACGUGUUAGUUUAUGGAUGCAGUGGGUGCUUCCCAAAGUUACUGUAAAGCUCUUUGCUCCAGAUCCUGAAAAUAAAGGCACAGAGGUUUGUAUGGUCUGUGAACUAGAAGAUCUCAGUGCUUCUAUAGAUGUCCAGGAUGUAUAUACCAAAGUGAAAUGUAAAAUAGAGAGUUUCAAUAUUGAUCACUAUAGAAGCAGGCCAGGGGAAGGUUGGCAGUCAGGACAUUUUGAAGGAGUAUUUCUACAAUGCAAAGAAAAAUCUGUGACAACUACAAAACUUCUAGAUGGCACUCAUCAGCAGCAUGGAUUCCUCUCUCUGACAUACACAAAAGCUGUAACAAAAAAUGUCCGCCACAAGUUAACAUCAAGAAAUGAGCGAAGAAGUUUUCAUAAAUUAUCUGAAGGCUUAAUGGAUGGUUCUCCUCAUUUUCUUCAUGAAAUUCUUCUUUCAGCACAAGCUUUUGAUAUUGUUCUUUAUUUUCCUUUACUUAAUGCCAUUGCAAGUAUAUUUCAAGCAAAACUACCAAAGACCCAAAAAGAGAAAACAAAAUCUCCUGGUCAGCCCAUGAGGACCCAUACGCUGACAUCCCGCAAUUUACCUUUGAUUUAUAUCAACACAAGUGUAAUCAGAAUUUUUAUUCCAAAAACAGAAGAAAUGCAAGUUUUCUGGGGUUUUUUGUUUCUUUUAAAAAAUAAGAGCAGUUGGUUGUGCUUUGCGGUUUGGUAUAUUUUAUAGAGAAG
RNAcentral lists this long non-coding RNA (1360 nucleotides) under Rhinopithecus bieti (black snub-nosed monkey). RNAcentral describes it as "lncRNA (ENSRBIG00000045495.1)". The record is from RNAcentral. Lineage: Eukaryota; Metazoa; Chordata; Mammalia; Primates; Cercopithecidae.